CCCUUAGAUGUUCUGGGCUGCACGCGCGCUACACUGAUGCGUUCAACGAGUUUAUGACCUUGCCCGAUAGGGUUGGGUAAUCUUUUUAAAUCGCAUCGUGAUGGGGAUAGAUUAUUGCAAUUAUUAAUCUUCAACGAGGAAUUCCUAGUAAGCGCGAGUCAUCAGCUCGUGCUGAUUACGUCCCUGCCCUUUGUACACACCGCCCGUCGCUCCUACCGAUUGAGUGAACCGGUGAAUAAUUCGGACUGCAGCAGUGUUCAGUUCCUGAACGUUGCAGCGGAAAGUUUAGUGAACCUUAUCACUUAGAGGAAGGAGAAGUCGUAACA
Molecule: ribosomal RNA, 326 nt
Filed under: uncultured eukaryote
Lineage: Eukaryota
Description: partial 18S ribosomal RNA
Rfam family: Eukaryotic small subunit ribosomal RNA
Source: RNAcentral